Molecule: ribosomal RNA, 494 nt
Filed under: uncultured bacterium
Lineage: Bacteria
Description: partial 16S ribosomal RNA
Rfam family: Bacterial small subunit ribosomal RNA
Source: RNAcentral
GACGAACGCUGGCGGCGUGCUUGACACAUGCAAGUCGAACGGAAAGGCCUGCUUUCCCUUGUGGAUUGCGGGUACUCGAGUGGCGAACGGGUGAGUAACACGUGAGUGAUCUGCCCCCAACUUGGGUAUAAGCCUGGGAAACUGGGUCUAAUUCCCGAUAGGACUGCAGGGUGGUGCCUGUGGUGGAAAGCGAUUUUCUAGUGGUUGGGGAUGAGCUCGCGGCCUAUCAGCUUGUUGGUGGGGUAAUGGCCUACCAAGGCGGCGACGGGUAGCCGGCCUGAGAGGGUGGACGGCCACAUUGGGACUGAGAUACGGCCCAGACUCCUACGGGAGGCAGCAGUGGGGAAUAUUGCACAAUGGGCGGAAGCCUGAUGCAGCGACGCCGCGUGGGGGAUGACGGCCUUCGGGUUGUAAACUCCUUUCGACCGCGAGGAAGCCACCUGGUUGGAAGGGUGGUGACGGUAGUGGUAGAAGAAGCACCGGCUAACUACGUG